RNAcentral lists this ribosomal RNA (213 nucleotides) under Triticum aestivum (bread wheat). RNAcentral's name for it is "partial small subunit ribosomal RNA". Lineage: Eukaryota; Viridiplantae; Streptophyta; Magnoliopsida; Poales; Poaceae. The record is from RNAcentral.
AUGGCGGAGUGGCGCCGGCGCCACCCGGAGGACGUCGCCUACGAGCAAGUCUACUGGGCAGGGCUCGCGAGGAGGACACGCGAAGGCGCCGCGAGGCGCGGUUGGACAGGCGUCGGCGGAAGGCGUUGGCGAACGCGCAGUCCGAUCUCAUUGCAGCAGGUGGGAGGUCGUUCUUCACGGAGAACGAUGAUCGUUGGUUGGACAUAUGGCUAG